This 144-nucleotide ribosomal RNA is filed under the name uncultured bacterium. RNAcentral describes it as "partial 16S ribosomal RNA". It matches the Rfam family "Bacterial small subunit ribosomal RNA", at positions 355 to 491 of the family's 1533-position model. The record is from RNAcentral.
UGGGGAAUUUUGGACAAUGGGCGAAAGCCUGAUCCAGCAAUGCCGCGUGCAGGAUGAAGGCCCUCGGGUUGUAAACUGCUUUUGUACGGAACGAAAAGCCUGGGGCUAAUAUCCCCGGGUCAUGACGGUACCGUAAGAAUAAGC